RNAcentral lists this ribosomal RNA (1290 nucleotides) under metagenome. RNAcentral describes it as "bacterial LSU rRNA". It matches the Rfam family "Bacterial large subunit ribosomal RNA", at positions 1105 to 2274 of the family's 2925-position model. The record is from RNAcentral.
CUUAGAAGCAGCCAUCCUUGAAAGAGUGCGUAAUAGCUCACUGGUCGAGUGGUUCCGCGCCGACAAUGUAGUGGGGCUCAAGUACACCGCCGAAGCCGCGGCAACAAUGUUUUGUUGGGUAGGGGAGCGUCGUGCAUGGUGUGAAGCAGUACCGUGAGGGGUUGUGGACUGUGUGCGAGUGAGAAUGCAGGCAUGAGUAACGAGUGUAAGGUGAGAAUCCUUACCGCUGGAUGACUAAGGGUUCCUGGGUCAAGUUCGUCUUCCCAGGGUGAGUCGGGUCCUAAGGCGAGGCCGACAGGCGUAGUCGAUGGUCAACGGGUUGAUAUUCCCGUACCCGUGUGUGUGCGUCAAGUGAUGAAGCGGUGAUACUAACCACCCUGAUCGCUGGCCAUGGCACUACUUUGUGGUGCUGGGUUGGUGUGAUGCGUGGGGCCUGAGUCGUUGUAGUCAAGUGAUGGGGUGACGCAGUGUGGUAGCCAAGCCACUUAUUGGAUUGUGGUGUAAGCGUGUGGCACGACGGUGUGUGAAAUGCCAUCGUUAUUGUGUGUGAGGCGUGAUGCGUAGCCCAGUGUUGGGUGAUGUUGGUGAUCCUGUGCUGUCGAGAAAAGCCUCUAGCGAGUGUGCAUACGGCCCGUACCCGAAACCGACACAGGUGGUCAGGUAGAGAAUACUAAAGCGGUCGGGUGAACUGUGGUUAAGGAAUUCGGCAAAAUUCCCCCGUAACUUCGGGAGAAGGGGGACCUGUGCUGGUAGCUGCAUUGUCGUGUGGUGUGCUGGUGUGGGUCGCAGAGAAGAGAGGGGAGCGACUGUUUAUCAAAAACACAGGUCCGUGCGAAGACGGUUAAGUUGAUGUAUACGGACUGACGCCUGCCCGGUGCUGGAAGGUUACGAGGACCUGUUAGAUCCUUUGUUGGGUCGAAGCGGAGAAUUUAAGCCCCAGUAAACGGCGGUGGUAACUAUAACCAUCCUAAGGUAGCGAAAUUCCUUGUCGGGUAAGUUCCGACCUGCACGAAUGGCGUAACGACUCCCCUGCUGUCUCAACCACAGGCCCGGUGAAAUUGCAGUACGAGUAAAGAUGCUCGUUUCGCGCGGCAGGACGAAAAGACCCCGGGACCUUCACUAUAGCUUGGUAUUGGCAUUCGGUGCGGUUUGUGUAGGAUAGGUGGGAGACUGUGAAGCAUUGACGCUAGUUGGUGUGGAGUCGUUGUUGAAAUACCACUCUGACCGUAGUGGAUAUCUAACCUUGGCCCAUGAUCUGGGUUGGGGACAGUGCCUGGUGGGUAGUUUAAC